RNAcentral lists this long non-coding RNA (674 nucleotides) under Homo sapiens (human). RNAcentral describes it as "HSALNT0028028". Lineage: Eukaryota; Metazoa; Chordata; Mammalia; Primates; Hominidae. The record is from RNAcentral.
GAAAGAAAUGAGAAAUAACUGAAGUAAUGAAAUUACCUCCUGUGUAGUGGCUUUUAAAUAGGCUCUGAAACCUUUCUCCAAAUGUAACUCAAAUAUUGAAUCACGGGGAACUGUUUCCCUCCCCAAAAGGCUAGCUUCUCCAACGUCCGUAAAGUUCAGUGCAUGGCCACUUAGUCCAACUUCCCUCUCACUGCAGACAUCUUUCUGAUGCAGUCAACCACCCUGCACCUCCGUGUGUGUCUCCAGCCUUGUGGUCCUUCAAAGAGCUGAAGGUGUUCAGGAAAACUUACGGGAGGCCAUUGAUUUGGACUAAGCCCCUGCACUAGGCUCCAGCAGAUCAACCCAAAAUGUAGUCACUUGUGCUAAUGUUCACAUCGUCACCAAGUGAAACCUAAGCUGUUCACUCAUAAGAUCUGACUUCUUGAGAAAUCAGGAGAGAGGUAAUAGCCAAAUCCCCAAACAGUGUUCUUCAUAGGAAAUAAUCUGGAGUCCAUUCUCUCUAUCCUGCUUUGUCCUUCCUGAAGUAAGUUCCAGUUUGUCAAUAUCUUAUGCAGAAUGUGGCAUUCAGAAAUAAGGACAAUUCUUCUAGUGAAAUAACUGAUGCUUAUGUAAGUAUAACAAUGUGUUACUGGUGAAAUGAAUCAACAUAGUAAAUUCUGCUAUAAACAUACAAC